AUGAGAACAGAAGCACAUUUGUGCGUGAAGUGUUAUUCUUGUAUUGCUAGUGUACCAAAUCAUAAGCGAUCCACAAUUCUUCACUACCAAGCUACACAAAGGAUUCAGAUUACAGCAAAAGCAUUUAUAAUAUGUUCUCGCUACCUUGCUCAGAAUAAAUAUUCUCACUACAAACCAAUCCAGAACAACAACAUGCACACGUCUUAUCAGAUAAAUUACAUUAAACUGAAGGUGCGACACCAAACCAGUGCACCGCUGUCUCCUACUUGUCGUCGUCCCCUCUUCAAAGCACAGACUGUUCACCAGCUUCUGCAAAGACAUAAUUCAACCUUACUUAUACUCGAAGUAGAAGAUAACUCGUGUGCACAUCAUCGCUGGCAAUAA
RNAcentral lists this ribosomal RNA (384 nucleotides) under Triticum aestivum (bread wheat). RNAcentral's name for it is "partial small subunit ribosomal RNA". Lineage: Eukaryota; Viridiplantae; Streptophyta; Magnoliopsida; Poales; Poaceae. The record is from RNAcentral.